Molecule: long non-coding RNA, 1679 nt
Filed under: Aotus nancymaae (Ma's night monkey)
Lineage: Eukaryota; Metazoa; Chordata; Mammalia; Primates; Aotidae
Description: lncRNA (ENSANAG00000039239.1)
Source: RNAcentral
AUGGCGAGAAAACCGCCAGCUCAGAAAGCCACUGUCGCAGGAGCCCGACCUCUCGCGCAAACAGCGCCAGACGCGCGCUGCAGGAGCGCGGAGCAUGGCGCGGCAUGGGCAGCCUUGGAGCCGGCUGGACCUGCAGCAGGAGCGCGACUUGCCAGAGCUCGUCUGGAGUGUCGCUGGCCUCAAGGACGAGACAGACCCCAGCUUCCAGCUCGCCCUAAACUUCGCCUGGUCCAACUUAAGCUAGAAUGCUGCAUCUCCGCACAGCUCCUGGCAGGUAGCACGAAAAGAAAGAUAAUUUUGACUUGGGAAAAUACUUGAUGGAAGGUGAAGAAAUGGACAUUGAUCCAGACAUGGACACACCAGUAAGUGACAGUAGUUUUGCUAUUAAAAAUUUAAAUACACACCAGGUGAUAGAGAUGAUUUUAAUGUGUCUUCCCACCUAGGUCAACUAAGCUAAAACAGGAACACUCUUAACUAAUCUAGAGUCAUUUAUUAUGGAAGUCUGGUUAGGAUUUUGCACCAAAUCACUAGGAUUAUCAAGUUACAAGGGGGUGGGCAUGGUGGCUCACACCUCUAAUCUCAGCACUUCAUUGAGAGGCUGAGGAAGGAGGAUUGCUUGAGCUUAGGAAUUUGAGACCAGCCUGGGUAACAUAGCAAGUUCUUAUGUCUAUUUUUUUAAAAUAGAAUUUAAAGAAAGAUGUUGUUUGGGCACAUUGGGCACACUGGCUCACACCUGUAAUCCCAGCACUUUGAGAGACCAAGGCAGGUAGAUCACUUGAGGCCAGAAGUUCGAGAGAAGCCUGGGCAAUAUAGUGAAACCCUAUCUAGUAAAAAUACAAAAAAUUAGCUGGGCAUGGUAGCACAUGCCUAUAAUCACAUCUGCUCGGGAGGCUCAGGCACGUGAAUAUCUUGAAGGUCAAGGUUGCAGUGAGCUGAGAUCAUGCCAUUGCACUUUGUUACCUGGGUGACAAAGUAAGAGACUAUCUCCAAAAAAGAAAAAAGAUAAGUUAAAAGGGUUGAGUAUAAGUAUCUCUUAAGAACCUGUGAUCUUGGGACUUUUUGCCACCAAAAAUAAUUCCAUUCCUUAUUGUUUCAAUGUUAUAGAAAAAAAUAAAAAGUAAUAAUUAUAUUUCCAUUCCUAUAAUAGGCACUUCCAAGAUAUUUAGAAAAAAAAAAUUCAUUUGGUUUUUUUUUUUCUGUUCCAUGUUGCUUCAAAAUUUUUGCUUUUCUUCAAAAUCUUCUUAGUCUUUUAAUAUAAAUAGCUUUAAGUGUUAUACUCUGUAAGGCUAAAGUGUAUUUCUUUUUUAAAUCAGAAUUGGUCUGAAGAAAGUGACGAGGAAAAUGAUCAAUAGCCAUUAAGCAGAGAGGACUCUGGAAUUCAGGUAGACAGGGCACCGUUAGAAGAACAAGAUCAAAACAGAAAACUGGGUCCUUGUGUCAGUUGGAAAGGUACUGUGUGUUGUGAGGUGCUGGCAUUUUCUAAUGGACAAAUUCCCUAGAAGAAAAGGCAAGCUCAAGAUCAGUUCCAUGGGAUCAAGGUAUCAGCUAAGUGGUAUCAUCUUUAUAAAAGCAAUUUUUAAAACUAUUAGUAAUCUUUUCUAUGUGAUGUUUAAGUAGUAGUACCAUAGAAUUAGUGUUGAAUUAAUGCAUGCAGAGUGUAAUUUUGUAAUUUUUUUCCU